This 505-nucleotide ribosomal RNA is filed under the name uncultured bacterium. Its description in RNAcentral is "partial 16S ribosomal RNA". It matches the Rfam family "Bacterial small subunit ribosomal RNA", at positions 28 to 507 of the family's 1533-position model. The record is from RNAcentral.
GACGAACGCUGGCGGCGUGCCUAAUACAUGCAAGUAGAACGCACAGUUUAUACCGUAGCUUGCUACACCAUAGACUGUGAGUUGCGAACGGGUGAGUAACGCGUAGGUAACCUGCCUGGUAGCGGGGGAUAACUAUUGGAAACGAUAGCUAAUACCGCAUAAUAUUGAUUAUUGCAUGAUAAUUGAUUGAAAGAUGCUAUUGCAUCACUACCAGAUGGACCUGCGUUGUAUUAGCUAGUAGGUGAGGUAACGGCUCACCUAGGCGACGAUACAUAGCCGACCUGAGAGGGUGAUCGGCCACACUGGGACUGAGACACGGCCCAGACUCCUACGGGAGGCAGCAGUUGGGAAUCUUCGGCAAUGGACGAAAGUCUGACCGAGCAACGCCGCGUGAGUGAAGAAGGUUUUCGGAUCGUAAAGCUCUGUUGUAAGAGAAGAACGGGUGUGAGAGUGGAAAGUUCACACUGUGACGGUAUCUUACCAGAAAGGGACGGCUAACUACGUG